RNAcentral lists this transfer RNA (85 nucleotides) under Felis catus (domestic cat). It matches the Rfam family "tRNA". From Rfam's summary of the family: Transfer RNA (tRNA) molecules are approximately 80 nucleotides in length. Their secondary structure includes four short double-helical elements and three loops (D, anti-codon, and T loops). The record is from Rfam by way of RNAcentral. Lineage: Eukaryota; Metazoa; Chordata; Mammalia; Carnivora; Felidae.
GCCUGAGUGGCUCAGUCGGUUAAGCGUCUGACUUCAGUUCAGAUCAUGUUCUCAUGGAUUGUGAGUUCAAGCCCUGCGUCGGGCU